GUGGGGAAUUUUGGACAAUGGGCGCAAGCCUGAUCCAGCCAUGCCGCGUGCAGGAUGAAGGCCUUCGGGUUGUAAACUGCUUUUGUACGGAACGAAACGGCUCUUUCUAAUAAAGAGGGCUAAUGACGGUACCGUAAGAAUAAGCACCGGCUAACUACGUGCCAGCAGCCGCGGUAAUACGUAGGGUGCGAGCGUUAAUCGGAAUUACUGGGCGUAAAGCGUGCGCAGGCGGUGAUGUAAGACAGAUGUGAAAUCCCCGGGCUCAACCUAGGAACUGCAUUUGUGACUGUAUAGCUAGAGUACGGUAGAGGGGGAUGGAAUUCCGCGUGUAGCAGUGAAAUGCGUAGAUAUGCGGAGGAACACCGAUGGCGAAGGCAAUCCCCUGGACCUGUACUGACGCUCAUGCACGAAAGCGUGGGGAGCAAACAGGAUUAGAAACCCGGGUAGUCC
This 450-nucleotide ribosomal RNA is filed under the name uncultured bacterium. RNAcentral describes it as "partial 16S ribosomal RNA". It matches the Rfam family "Bacterial small subunit ribosomal RNA", at positions 354 to 796 of the family's 1533-position model. The record is from RNAcentral.